GGCUCCAUAGUGUUGUGGUUAAUACAUCUGCUUUACACGCAGAAGGUCUGUAGAGCCA
This 58-nucleotide transfer RNA is filed under the name Pteropus alecto (black flying fox). The record is from Rfam by way of RNAcentral. Lineage: Eukaryota; Metazoa; Chordata; Mammalia; Chiroptera; Pteropodidae.